GGGACGGCAAGACGCUCAACACGGUGGUGUUCGCCAGGUUCGUCUUGUUCUUGGAUUUUCGCUUGCUUCUUUGUUUCUUCUUUCUGACCGAGCAGGUGAGCUGAUUUUGGAUUUGUCAUCCUAGUUUCUGCAGCUGUUGGAGGAGGACUUGGUGGUGCUAAGGAAUGGAGUACUACAAGGACGGACGCCGCUUCCGUUGAACUCAGGUGAGCUUGCGAAUUCGCGAUGGCCUUGGUGAUUUUACUGUUACUGCUACUCUAUUAGUCAUGGAAUUCGGGAGAUCUUGGGUUCGAAUUUUAUUUUCUGGGAUUUUUAUCGGGGUGUAUGCAACUGUAUAACUGUAAAUUGGCUUGCCCCUGGGUGUUCUUGGUUGGUGAUUCGACAAUGAUUUGAAGCGGUCUGGCUUAUCAGCCGGUGGUUAGGUGGAGUCGGGUUAUUAUAGUUUCGGUAUAGGAGGGGGAAAGGUGGCACAAAUCUGGGGGCAGGGCAUGUUUCUGCCUGAUUGAUCCAAUCAUUUUUUUUCUUCUGGUAUCAAUCAAUCAUGCCAGCAUCUGAAACGGAUUAUCAAAUCUGAAUUGGCACUGUUUUUUAUAUAUAAUGAUACCAUACAGCUCGAGAUGAACAUAUGCUUGACUGAAUAGUUGUUCAUACAUCUGGAGGUGUUACUAUGAGUACAAUUACCAUUCAGAAAGAAAGAAACUAUGAGUAAAAUGCAGAGAACGCACUUCCAGACUAUCAAUCAUGCAUGCCCAUAUCAUUUGCUUUGCUUAAUGUUUCUUAGUUUAACUUACUAAUCUCUUGUCUGUGUAAUUUUUGCUGCCAGAAGGGAUCCAAAUAGGUUGCAACUGGGAGUAAAAUAUGUGUCUAAACUGAUUGUCUGGUGCGAAAAUCGACGACCAAGAUCCAGUUAUGUGUAUUGUAGGACAACACCUUUCAUUAGAUACACUUUGAUGCUAUUUCUAGCAUGAAUUUCUAUUUCAGACUUAGAACUAAAAUUCUGAACAACUAAAAUCGCUCUUGUUCCUUAUUUUUGUAGGGCGGUUCCUCUCGUUUUACUGGUUCGUCCGCUCCUUCAUGAUUGAUGUACUGGUUCUGGCCGCUCCUUCGUGAUAGACUCGGUUAACUCUUUGUUGGCCUUGUGGGUCGUAAUUGUUUCUCUCCAUAUGCAUAUACUUCCUGAUGUAUUGCUCAUGCUCAUUCUGUACCGAGAUAGACCUAAUAUCCGUAGGGUUGUAGAUUGAUUUCCCCUGAAAAAGCUAUGCUUCUUUCCUUGGAUGAUAAGCAUGUUCCGCAGCUAUGUGGAAUUCUUAAGAUAAACGGUCUUUAGUUUCUUUUGGUGCAUCUGCGUGCACAUAACAGUCUGUUAGUUUCUCAGUCUGUUAGUUUCUCUUUAUAUAAUGAAAAAAUAUAUGUUGUUGUCGCUUGUUUAUUAUUAUCUAUCAUUUGUAUAUUGAUUUUUAGGCCACCAGUACUUGUAUGUAUAAUUUCUAGUCUCUUGAAUGAAUAAUUUUUCUUUAUGUGCCAUGCGUCUUGUGUUACUACAUACAUCUGUCGUGAAGUACAUGGUUCUGGAACUAUGGUAACCCGUAGUUUGCUCUACCCGUGAUAGUAGGAUGAUGGAAGCAUCACUACUGAAUGUAGUUCAUGUUUCUUCAUAUAAUCAUCAUUUACUAGAGUUUCUCUUCUUCUUGCUACUACUUGGUUUUUGACGCCACUAGCUUGUACUGAAAUGUAAACACAUCAUAUUGUUCUCAUCAGACCAGUGUACCUUGAGCAUGCAAAGUAAACACAUGCUACUCCACUUGUCUAUUUUUACAUAAACUUUUGUUUAAAUAAACCGAGCUAAUAAACCAAACGGUGCAAACACAUUCAGUUCUGAAAUUUGUCUACUCCACUUGUUUGAUUGUACUGAAACCUUUGUUUGCAUGUUUCUAAAAUGCAGAGAAGAACACCCUGUGUUCUGGUAAAAUAUUUGUUUGCUAUGAUAUGAAAUUCCAUGAUGUGUGUGUUGUUUCAGUUUCUGUAGCUACAACAAAGUCCUAGUUUACUCUAUACUUGCUUUUGAUGAUUGCUGGCUAAAUUUACAGUUGAAAUAAUAGUAGCCAAGGAGUAGAUACAAGACGUAUUUACCAUAUUUUGCAUGGAAUGUUAAAAAUCAGUUUUGUUGUGGUUUCUUGUUCUGUGAGUCAAAUUGCAUAAGAUGGGAGUAUCACAACAUGCAUAUACUGAAGCUGGGAGUAUCACAACCUGAAUGUGCAGCUUAUGUAGUUUCUGUAUUUUUGUUAAAGCAUGGAGUAGCUUCUAUAGUUUCUGUAUUUUUGUUAAAGCAUGGAGUAGCUUCUAUAGUUUCUGUAUUUCUGUAUUUUCGUUAAAGCAUGGAGUAGCUUCUAUAGCUUCCUCACAAGUUAAUGCUUUGCUCGUCCGGGUGUGUGAUAAUGCCAUUUGUCUUGUGCAAUCAGAUUACAUUUCUGUUUGUUAUGGUAAUAUAAAAAAUAUUCGUGCUGUCAAAAUUUUCACAGUGCGUGUCUUUCAUUUCUUUAAUUUGAUUGUUUCCCUUGUAUUCAAUAUGCUUCUAGUGGCUGAUCCUUCCAUUUUUGUUGUGGCAUCUUUAUUUUCACAGGUGUUGUGUGUUCUGGAAGAUGGAAGAGGAAGAAAUUGUUGAACUAAAUUUUUUGUAUUCUGUUUUGUUGUAUGUAUCAUUUGAUAGUUUUGUAUAGGAACAAGUGAUACUAUUUUGUAGGGCUUUAUGGCCUAUGAUGUAAACAUAUUUAGUGCUGAAAUAUGAAAUUAUUUGCAAAAUUUGUCAAAAAGGUGGAUCAUAUGUAUGAAUAUGUGAAUGGGCUGAAAAGAGUAAUGGACCAACUCCAGGAUUGAAU
Molecule: long non-coding RNA, 2876 nt
Filed under: Triticum aestivum (bread wheat)
Lineage: Eukaryota; Viridiplantae; Streptophyta; Magnoliopsida; Poales; Poaceae
Description: long non-coding RNA (TAES_LNC027838)
Source: RNAcentral